AGCCACAGCCAUAACACCUUGCACACCAAGACUGGAUACUCACUGAAGCUGAGCAGGGCUGAGCCUGGACAGAACCUGCAUGGGUGACCACAUGGGGAAAAACUAGGUUGCUGUUGGAA
RNAcentral lists this ribosomal RNA (119 nucleotides) under Danio rerio (zebrafish). Lineage: Eukaryota; Metazoa; Chordata; Actinopteri; Cypriniformes; Danionidae. The record is from RNAcentral.